CAGUCGCCACGGGAAUACGAAGGGGGCUAGCGUUGCUCGGAAUGACUGGGCGUAAAGGGCGCGUAGGCGGCGGCCAAAGUCAGGCGUGAAAUUCCCGGGCUCAACCUGGGGGCUGCGUUUGAUACUUGGUUGCUUGAGUGGGGAAGAGGGUCGUGGAAUUCCCAGUGUAGAGGUGAAAUUCGUAGAUAUUGGGAAGAACACCGGUGGCGAAGGCGGCUACCUGGUCCUUUACUGACGCUGAGGCGCGAAAGCGUGGGGAGCAAACAGGAUUAGAGACCCCCGUAGUCCCUGUCUCUUAUAC
RNAcentral lists this ribosomal RNA (301 nucleotides) under uncultured bacterium. RNAcentral's name for it is "partial 16S ribosomal RNA". It matches the Rfam family "Bacterial small subunit ribosomal RNA", at positions 509 to 807 of the family's 1533-position model. The record is from RNAcentral.